UCGGGAAUUUUGGGCAAUUGGGCGAAAGCCUGACGGAGCGACACCGCGUGCAGGACGAAGGCCCUCGGGUUGUAAACUGCUGUCACGCUCUAGGAAUGCCAUGUCGUUAAUAGCGGCAUGGUUGACCAAGGCGAAAGGAAGUGGCGGCUAACUCUGUGCCAGCAGCCGCGGUAAGACAGAGGCCACGAACGUUGUUCGGAAUCACUGGGCAUAAAGCGCACGUAGGCGGCUAGGUCCGUCCAAUGUGAAAGCCCCCGGCUCAACCGUGGAAUUGCAUCGGAUACAGCCUGGCUUGAGGACGGUUGGGGUGAGUGGAACUCCUGGUGGAGCGGUGAAAUGCGUAGAUAUCAGGAGGAACACCGGUGGCGAAAGCGGCUCACUGGACCGUAACUGACGCUGAGGUGCGAAAGCUAGGGGAGCAAACGGGAUUAGAUACCCUCGUAGUCCCUGAGCGGGCUGGCAAGGCGCAU
This 470-nucleotide ribosomal RNA is filed under the name uncultured bacterium. RNAcentral describes it as "bacterial SSU rRNA". It matches the Rfam family "Bacterial small subunit ribosomal RNA", at positions 355 to 825 of the family's 1533-position model. The record is from RNAcentral.